GAUUGCUAGCCGUUGGGCAGCUUGCUGUUCAGUGGCGCAGCUAACGCAUUAAGCAAUCCGCCUGGGGAGUACGNCCGCAAGGUUGAAACUCAAAGGAAUUGAACGGGGGCCCGCACAAGCCGGUGGAGCAUGUGGUUUAAUUCGACGCAACGCGCAGAACCUUACCCAGGGUUUGACAUCCUGCGACCGCCUCCUAAUAGGGGUUUUCCCGCAAGGGACGCAGAGACAGGUGCUGCAUGGCUGUCGUCAGCUCGUGUCGUGAGAUGUUGGGUUAAGUCCCGCAACGAGCGCAACCCUCGCCUUUAGUUGCCAUCAUUCAGUUGGGCACUCUAGGGGGACCGCCGGCGACAAGCCGGAGGAAGGUGGGGAUGACGUCAAGUCCUCAUGGCCCUUACANCCCUGGGCUACACACGUGCUACAAUGGCGGUGACAGUGGGCAGCUACUUCGCGAGAAGCGGCUAAUCCCAAAAAACCGUCCCAGUUCAGAUUGUACUCUGCAACUCGAGUACAUGAAGGUGGAAUCGCUAGUAAUCGCAGAACAGCAGGCUGCGGUGAAUACGUUCCCGGGCCUUGUACACACCGCCCGUCACGGCAUGGGAGUUGGUUCUACCUUAAGACGGUGCGCUAACCCGCAAGGGAGGCAGCCGGCCACGGUAGGAUCAGCGACUGGGCCGAAGUCGUAACAAGGUACC
This 692-nucleotide ribosomal RNA is filed under the name uncultured bacterium. RNAcentral's name for it is "bacterial SSU rRNA". It matches the Rfam family "Bacterial small subunit ribosomal RNA", at positions 811 to 1500 of the family's 1533-position model. The record is from RNAcentral.